UUAAGCGACUAAGCGUACACGGUGGAUGCCCUGGCAGUCAGAGGCGAUGAAGGACGUGCUAAUCUGCGAUAAGCGUCGGUAAGGUGAUAUGAACCGUUAUAACCGGCGAUUUCCGAAUGGGGAAACCCAGUGUGAUUCGUCACACUAUCAUUAACUGAAUCCAUAGGUUAAUGAGGCGAACCGGGGGAACUGAAACAUCUAAGUACCCCGAGGAAAAGAAAUCAACCGAGAUUCCCCCAGUAGCGGCGAGCGAACGGGGAGCAGCCCAGAGCCUGAAUCAGUGUGUGUGUUAGUGGAAGCGUCUGGAAAGGCGUGCGAUACAGGGUGACAGCCCCGUACACAAAAAUGCACAUAUUGUGAGCUCGAUGAGUAGGGCGGGACACGUGGUAUCCUGUCUGAAUAUGGGGGGACCAUCCUCCAAGGCUAAAUACUCCUGACUGACCGAUAGUGAACCAGUACCGUGAGGGAAAGGCGAAAAGAACCCCGGCGAGGGGAGUGAAAAAGAACCUGAAACCGUGUACGUACAAGCAGUGGGAGCACAGAGCAAUCUGUGUGACUGCGUACCUUUUGUAUAAUGGGUCAGCGACUUAUAUUCUGUAGCAAGGUUAACCGAAUAGGGGAGCCGAAGGGAAACCGAGUCUUAACUGGGCGUUAAGUUGCAGGGUAUAGACCCGAAACCCGGUGAUCUAGCCAUGGGCAGGUUGAAGGUUGGGUAACACUAACUGGAGGACCGAACCGACUAAUGUUGAAAAAUUAGCGGAUGACUUGUGGCUGGGGGUGAAAGGCCAAUCAAACCGGGAGAUAGCUGGUUCUCCCCGAAAGCUAUUUAGGUAGCGCCUCGUGAAUUCAUCUCCGGGGGUAGAGCACUGUUUCGGCAAGGGGGUCAUCCCGACUUACCAACCCGAUGCAAACUGCGAAUACCGGAGAAUGUUAUCACGGGAGACACACGGCGGGUGCUAACGUCCGUCGUGAAGAGGGAAACAACCCAGACCGCCAGCUAAGGUCCCAAAGUCAUGGUUAAGUGGGAAACGAUGUGGGAAGGCCCAGACAGCCAGGAUGUUGGCUUAGAAGCAGCCAUCAUUUAAAGAAAGCGUAAUAGCUCACUGGUCGAGUCGGCCUGCGCGGAAGAUGUAACGGGGCUAAACCAUGCACCGAAGCUGCGGCAGCGACGCUGAUGCGUUGUUGGGUAGGGGAGCGUUCUGUAAGCCUGCGAAGGUGUGCUGUGAGGCAUGCUGGAGGUAUCAGAAGUGCGAAUGCUGACAUAAGUAACGAUAAAGCGGGUGAAAAGCCCGCUCGCCGGAAGACCAAGGGUUCCUGUCCAACGUUAAUCGGGGCAGGGUGAGUCGACCCCUAAGGCGAGGCCGAAAGGCGUAGUCGAUGGGAAACAGGUUAAUAUUCCUGUCCUUGGUGUUACUGCGAAGGGGGGACGGAGAAGGCUAUGUUGGCCGGGCGACGGUUGUCCCGGUUUAAGCGUGUAGGCUGGUUUUCCAGGCAAAUCCGGAAAAUCAAGGCUGAGGCGUGAUGACGAGGCACUACGGUGCUGAAGCAACAAAUGCCCUGCUUCCAGGAAAAGCCUCUAAGCAUCAGGUAACAUCAAAUCGUACCCCAAACCGACACAGGUGGUCAGGUAGAGAAUACCAAGGCGCUUGAGAGAACUCGGGUGAAGGAACUAGGCAAAAUGGUGCCGUAACUUCGGGAGAAGGCACGCUGAUAUGUAGGUGAAGCGACUUGCUCGUGGAGCUGAAAUCAGUCGAAGAUACCAGCUGGCUGCAACUGUUUAUUAAAAACACAGCACUGUGCAAACACGAAAGUGGACGUAUACGGUGUGACGCCUGCCCGGUGCCGGAAGGUUAAUUGAUGGGGUCAGCGCAAGCGAAGCUCUUGAUCGAAGCCCCGGUAAACGGCGGCCGUAACUAUAACGGUCCUAAGGUAGCGAAAUUCCUUGUCGGGUAAGUUCCGACCUGCACGAAUGGCGUAAUGAUGGCCAGGCUGUCUCCACCCGAGACUCAGUGAAAUUGAACUCGCUGUGAAGAUGCAGUGUACCCGCGGCAAGACGGAAAGACCCCGUGAACCUUUACUAUAGCUUGACACUGAACAUUGAGCCUUGAUGUGUAGGAUAGGUGGGAGGCUUUGAAGUGUGGACGCCAGUCUGCAUGGAGCCGACCUUGAAAUACCACCCUUUAAUGUUUGAUGUUCUAACGUGGACCCGUGAUCCGGGUUGCGGACAGUGUCUGGUGGGUAGUUUGACUGGGGCGGUCUCCUCCUAAAGAGUAACGGAGGAGCACGAAGGUUGGCUAAUCCUGGUCGGACAUCAGGAGGUUAGUGCAAUGGCAUAAGCCAGCUUGACUGCGAGCGUGACGGCGCGAGCAGGUGCGAAAGCAGGUCAUAGUGAUCCGGUGGUUCUGAAUGGAAGGGCCAUCGCUCAACGGAUAAAAGGUACUCCGGGGAUAACAGGCUGAUACCGCCCAAGAGUUCAUAUCGACGGCGGUGUUUGGCACCUCGAUGUCGGCUCAUCACAUCCUGGGGCUGAAGUAGGUCCCAAGGGUAUGGCUGUUCGCCAUUUAAAGUGGUACGCGAGCUGGGUUUAGAACGUCGUGAGACAGUUCGGUCCCUAUCUGCCGUGGGCGCUGGAGAACUGAGGGGGGCUGCUCCUAGUACGAGAGGACCGGAGUGGACGCAUCACUGGUGUUCGGGUUGUCAUGCCAAUGGCACUGCCCGGUAGCUAAAUGCGGAAGAGAUAAGUGCUGAAAGCAUCUAAGCACGAAACUUGCCCCGAGAUGAGUUCUCCCUGACUCCUUGAGAGUCCUGAAGGAACGUUGAAGACGACGACGUUGAUAGGCCGGGUGUGUAAGCGCAGCGAUGCGUUGAGCUAACCGGUACUAAUGAACCGUGAGGCUUAACCUU
Molecule: ribosomal RNA, 2904 nt
Filed under: Escherichia coli
Lineage: Bacteria; Pseudomonadati; Pseudomonadota; Gammaproteobacteria; Enterobacterales; Enterobacteriaceae
Description: bacterial LSU rRNA
Rfam family: Bacterial large subunit ribosomal RNA
Source: RNAcentral